GACACACACUGGAUCUCGGGCUUGAGCCUCUGCCGGCUGAAGGCCACGGCCAUGUCGCCACACUUCUGGAUCUCGGGAGUAGACAGCACACACCAGCGCAGUUCAUCCUAGGCCAUCCUGCUCGCCACACUCGGCUGUUUGGACACAUGACAGAUGGCCCAGGUGUGGAUGGUGCUGAGGGCCAGCUGGGCAGCCGCAGUCUGGAUGGGGUGAAAGUAGCAGAAGCUGGGGCGCACUCGGGAGUCGGAAACAGUGCUGCUGUGAGCAGAGGUUUCAGCAAAACCUUAUUCACUGCAUGUAAUUAAUGGUACACUUUGAAAUGUA
Molecule: non-coding RNA, 324 nt
Organism: Microcebus murinus (gray mouse lemur)
Lineage: Eukaryota; Metazoa; Chordata; Mammalia; Primates; Cheirogaleidae
Source: RefSeq, a predicted model, not a curated record